GUCGUAACAAGGUAGCCGUAGGGGAACCUGCGGCUGGAUCACCUCCUUUCUAAGGAUCUGGCAGAAAGCGCCGUCCCUUGCGGAUGGAAGAGCUUCUCCCACUCCAAAGAACAUGCCGUCGUCCUCAUGUCCCUUCAUCCUGGAGAUAGCACCGUAAAGGUGCUGUAUGCCUGAGCUGGCUUAUCUGCCGCCCGCGGCCCAUUGGCCUGCUUGUGGCGCAGGAUGGGCCGGUAGCUCAGGUGGUUAGAGCGCACGCCUGAUAAGCGUGAGGUCGCAAGUUCAACUCUUGCUCGGCCCACCAUCCUUAUACGCCUUGGUUACCAAGGGGGCCUUAGCUCAGCUGGGAGAGCGGUUGCUUUGCAAGCAUCAGGUCAUCGGUUCGAUCCCGAUAGGCUCCACCAAUUUGCCGAUGGCAAAUUGAUCUUGUUUGUUGAGUGCUCAGGCGCCGCCGAACGCAUUCGCGUUCUUGGCUUUUUCCGCGCAUAAGCGCGGCCAAGAAACGGAUGGGGCCGGUCGGCCUUGCGAACCCUGCGGGUUCGGGGCUCUCAACACGCUCACCAAGAUACUCCAGAGAUGAAGCGAAACGGUUCCGGCCUGCAAGGGUCGGUUACGCGGGAUCUGCCCGCAGUUCUUUGACAUUGUGAAUGGGUUUUUUAAUCGAUGCCGUGGCGCAUGGGUUUUCCAAGACGUUUGGAAGAUCGAUCAUGCGUUACAUACAGAUCAAUAUCUGGCUGAGAUUAUCGUCCAUGCCUAGCACGACGCANUCUUUAUGCAGGGCUGUCGUUGAUGGUGUGGAUUCUCAAGCGUGAGGUAAGAGCAUCUGGUGGAUGCCUUGGC
RNAcentral lists this unclassified non-coding RNA (837 nucleotides) under uncultured bacterium. RNAcentral's name for it is "partial contains 16S ribosomal RNA, 16S-23S ribosomal RNA intergenic spacer, and 23S ribosomal RNA". The stretch from base 225 to 298 matches the Rfam family "tRNA". The record is from RNAcentral.